UAGGUCUCAGAAAGGAGCACAUGGAGGGCAGCUUGUAGGCAGAAGUGAGGCUAAUGCUUAGGGAUGGUACCCUGGGCACAUGGCAGCGUCACCAGCUAAGAGAAUAUACAGGAUCCUACGCAAAGCUUUAGGCAGGAGUCCCCAGUCACUGGGGCACAGCACAACUGUGAAAGAUCUAUGAUGACCACUGUAACAAAGCAAUCUCAAAACCAAAACCCUGAAAACACAACAGAAAAGCUCCUUCACCUGGGGCUAACAGCUGUCUCUCUGAACGAUGGGAAUCUGCUGCAUGUGUUGUGCAUGCGAACAUCAGCCAUCCUUUCUCUUAAACUGGACACCAGUAAAGAGGACCUCUGGGUCAAAUGGCAAAGACAGUUGGAUCAUUGGUGUGAACUCAGCCAACAGGACCAAAUGUAACAAAUUCCUCCGUGCUGGAUACCGGAAACUGCUUCUUCUUGCCUUGAAUUUGCCAUUUUGCCCUGAUGUGCAAUUGUCUCGGCACAUG
Hyaena hyaena (striped hyena) is the source of this 505-nucleotide long non-coding RNA. RefSeq lists it as uncharacterized. NCBI's taxonomy places the organism in Eukaryota, Metazoa, Chordata, Mammalia, Carnivora, Hyaenidae. The transcript is spliced from 4 exons. The record is from RefSeq and is a predicted model, not a curated record.